UGAAAUACGUCAUCGAAAUGGUGAAAAUUCAAGUGUUUUGUUCCUGCUCCUCGUUGGCACUGCAAUCGUCGCCUGUAUAGCUGCAAAACAGACAGAUAUUUGUGAGAAUGAGACAGGACGUCUGAGAUGCAGAGGCAGUGAGACCAUCCGUAUCAAGAACGCGUGGUACG
Priapulus caudatus is the source of this 170-nucleotide long non-coding RNA. RefSeq lists it as uncharacterized. The transcript has 3 exons. NCBI's taxonomy places the organism in Eukaryota, Metazoa, Priapulida, Priapulimorpha, Priapulimorphida, Priapulidae. The record is from RefSeq and is a predicted model, not a curated record.